UUUUUUAAAAACUAUUAUGACUUUUUAAAGAAAAAGUUUCACAGCAUGUAACUUUUAUUAAAAAUAUCCAACUUCAUGCAAUAUUUUUCACUUUCAUCUGAUUGUACAAAAGGCCCUGACAGCAUUUGUCUAAAGACCCCAUAAACAAGCAAUUGUCAGACGUCCCUAAGUAUGAAAGACUGUAACGAUAAAAAUCAAAAUCAUAGCGCCUGAUGACACUAUUAACAACAUUUCAAUUCCCAAUUUGGGUAUAGGCUAGAAUAUCAACCAGAUUCACGAGUUUCAAUAGACUUUAUCUAAAAUUCUCAACAAAACUGGUCGUGAUACAGACUGAGAUUCAUUGCUCUUUACAGAUAGAAUGCGGCUUUCCAAGACCCCAACAUCCUCAUACAAUUGAUCGGAGAAAGCCAAAGCUCCCGGAAUGGCAUAUCUUCUCUCAAGCAGAGGUGCCACUCUUUACACCGUAUUCUGUGCACUUUGUAUCUACAAGAUCAACAUUCUUAUCUACGUCGUCUUGGUGAGCUGAUCCCUGUCAAGAAUUUUGUUCUCUUUCACUAGAAAAUGCUAAUUAAUUUGAACUGUAAGUUGGUAUAAAUCCUUUGGCGUGUUGACUCUCCAUUUCAAGGGUCAUCAAGGAUUUCUGCCGGUGAUAUCUGUUUCUUUUUGCAGCAAGAGCUGAACAAGAUAAUAAUUAAACAAAUCAAUGUUCAACUCAAUACAUGACGUGAGCACAGGUGCAAAAGAAUACGAGAACCAACAAGUUAUAUAUGAUUCUAAUUUGAUGCAGUUGGUUUAAUAUUAAGUAAAACUAAGGCUGAUCCAAGUUAUUUAAGGUAAGUGUAAUUACACAAACAGUGUCAACAAAAGUCGAGUAAUUUGCUUGUUGGGGCAAAAUUUUGGCGAACUUAAACAGAAAGUAACAAAUGGAGGAAAGGAGAAAGAAAUAAACGUUUUGCAGCAUGGAUAGUUUGGUCUGAGUAAGCCUUGGCUCAAAAGUGGCAUAUAAAGCCUGAAAGAUGAGCCAUUGCCUCAAAAGUAAACAAGAAACAACUUUAAAAUCCAUAACACACUAAUAUUUUGUUAGGACCAAUAGAAGACAGGUGCAAGAGUGGAAUGUUCCUUGUGUAGACAGCAGUUAUCAAAGAAUUUAAGGAGAUAAAUAAAACAUGAAAUGCACAACGUUGUGCACUGACACCA
This 1197-nucleotide long non-coding RNA is filed under the name Olea europaea subsp. europaea. The record is from RNAcentral. Lineage: Eukaryota; Viridiplantae; Streptophyta; Magnoliopsida; Lamiales; Oleaceae.